CAAUAGCGUAUAUUAAAGUUGUUGCAGUUAAAAAGCUCGUAGUUGGAUUUGUGGCGUACGGUGUGUUCCGGGCACUUGUUGUCUGAGUAACCUGCUGUUGCCAUCCUUGGGUGGAACCUGUGUGGCAUUAGGUUGUCGUGCAGGGGAUGCCCAUCAUUUACUGUGAAAAAAUUAGAGUGUUCAAAGCAGGCUUAUGCCGUUGAACAUAUUAGCAUGGAAUAAUGAGAUAGGACUUUUUUGCUAUUUUGUUGGUUUGCGCAAAGAGGUAAUGAUUAAUAGGGACAGUUGGGGGUAUUCGUAUUCCAUUGUCAGAGGUGAAAUUCUUGGAUUUUUGGAAGACGAACUACUGCGAAAGCAUUUACCAAGGAUGUUUUCAUUAA
Molecule: ribosomal RNA, 380 nt
Filed under: uncultured eukaryote
Lineage: Eukaryota
Description: partial 18S ribosomal RNA
Rfam family: Eukaryotic small subunit ribosomal RNA
Source: RNAcentral